RNAcentral lists this non-coding RNA (28 nucleotides) under Rattus norvegicus (Norway rat). Lineage: Eukaryota; Metazoa; Chordata; Mammalia; Rodentia; Muridae. The record is from RNAcentral.
UAUAAGCCUGUGUGUCAGGAGUGCUGUA